This 175-nucleotide ribosomal RNA is filed under the name uncultured bacterium. RNAcentral describes it as "partial 16S ribosomal RNA". It matches the Rfam family "Bacterial small subunit ribosomal RNA", at positions 338 to 525 of the family's 1533-position model. The record is from RNAcentral.
UCUACGGGAGGCAGCAGUGGGGAAUAUUGCGCAAUGGGCGAAAGCCUGACGCAGCGACGCCGCGUGCGGGAUGAAGGCCUUCGGGUUGUAAACCGCUUUUGGAGGCAAAAAAGCGAGAGCGAUGGUAACCUCCGAAUAAGGACCGGCUAACUACGUGCCAGCAGCCGCGGUAAUA